Molecule: ribosomal RNA, 485 nt
Filed under: uncultured bacterium
Lineage: Bacteria
Description: partial 16S ribosomal RNA
Rfam family: Bacterial small subunit ribosomal RNA
Source: RNAcentral
GAUGAACGCUCGCGACAGGCUUAACACAUGCAAGUCGAGGGGCAGCACAGGUAGCAAUACUGGGUGGCGACCGGCGCACGGGUGAGUAACGCGUAUGCAACUUACCUAUCAGAGGGGGAUAACCCGGCGAAAGUCGGACUAAUACCGCAUGAAGCAGGGGUCCCGCAUGGGGAUAUUUGCUAAAGAUUCAUCGCUGAUAGAUAGGCAUGCGUUCCAUUAGGCAGUUGGCGGGGUAACGGCCCACCAAACCGACGAUGGAUAGGGGUUCUGAGAGGAAGGUCCCCCACAUUGGUACUGAGACACGGACCAAACUCCUACGGGAGGCAGCAGUGAGGAAUAUUGGUCAAUGGCCGAGAGGCUGAACCAGCCAAGUCGCGUGAGGGAGGAAGGUUCUAUGGAUCGUAAACCUCUUUUAUAAGGGAAUAAAGUGCGGGACGUGUCCCGUUUUGUAUGUACCUUAUGAAUAAGGAUCGGCUAACUCCGUG